RNAcentral lists this ribosomal RNA (574 nucleotides) under Arene sp. SWA-2009. Its description in RNAcentral is "partial 16S ribosomal RNA". It matches the Rfam family "Bacterial large subunit ribosomal RNA", at positions 1816 to 2600 of the family's 2925-position model. The record is from RNAcentral. Lineage: Eukaryota; Metazoa; Mollusca; Gastropoda; Trochida; Areneidae.
GCCUUUCGUUGCAACAUAUAUUUAUGCCUAGUCAAGAUGAGGGGUCGUGCCUGCCCAAUGACAUAAUGUUAAAUGGCUGCGGUACCCUGACCGUAUAAAAGUAGCAUAAUCAUUUGCCUUUUAAUUGAAGGCUUGUAUGAACGGUUUGACGAGAGCUUAACUGUCUCCUCUAAAAUAUUUAGAAUUUAACUUGUAGAUGAAGAGGUCUACAUUUUAUUGAGGGACAAGAAGACCCCGUUGAGCUUUAGUUAAGUAAUAAAUUGACAAAUUAAUUUAUGCGUUUUAAAUCUACGCUGGAAGUUGAUUUAUUAGUAAAUCUUUAGUUUGGGGCAGUGAGGGAAUAAGAGUACUUUCCCUAAUCAUAAGGUAAUUGGCUACCUUGAGUUCUGUGAACAAACUUAAAUAUGAUCCAGUCAUUACUGAUCAGUGGAAAAAGUUACCACGGGGAUAACAGCGUAAUCUUUCUAGAGAGCUCUAAUCAAAGGAAAGGAUUGCGACCUCGAUGUUGGACUAAGGUAUCCGGAAGGCGUAGAAGCUUUCAAUGGUUGGUCUGUUCGACCAUUAAAACCUUACA